CCAGGGGGCCGGGCAACCGCGUGAUCGCAAGAUACCGAGGAAAGUCCGGGCUCCACGAAACAAGGGUGGCGGGUAACGCCCGCCGGGUUUGCGCAAGCAGAUCAAGGGAAAGUGCCACAGAGAGCAGACCGCUAAUCCCGGAUCUCGGUCCGGGACAGUAAGGGUGAAAGGGUGCGGUAAGAGCGCACCGCGCGCGCCGGCAACGGCCGCGGCACGGUAAACCCCACCCGGAGCAAGACCGAAUAGGGGCGGCACGUUCGUUUACGGACAGGUUGUUUCGACCCGACCGCCCGGGUUGGUCGCUAGAGCGGCAUGGCAACAUGUCGCCAAGAGGAAUGGUUGCCGGCGCGGAUACGGUCGACUCGUGCGAAACCGUCCGCGUCACAGAACCCGGCUUACAGGCCCCCUGGCACC
Molecule: RNase P RNA, 414 nt
Filed under: Novosphingobium sp. 12-64-8
Lineage: Bacteria; Pseudomonadati; Pseudomonadota; Alphaproteobacteria; Sphingomonadales; Sphingomonadaceae
Description: RNase P RNA component class A
Rfam family: Bacterial RNase P class A
About the family: Ribonuclease P (RNase P) is a ubiquitous endoribonuclease, found in archaea, bacteria and eukarya as well as chloroplasts and mitochondria. Its best characterised activity is the generation of mature 5'-ends of tRNAs by cleaving the 5'-leader elements of precursor-tRNAs. Cellular RNase Ps are ribonucleoproteins.
Source: RNAcentral